RNAcentral lists this transfer RNA (69 nucleotides) under Graus nigra. RNAcentral describes it as "tRNA-Phe". It matches the Rfam family "tRNA". From Rfam's summary of the family: Transfer RNA (tRNA) molecules are approximately 80 nucleotides in length. Their secondary structure includes four short double-helical elements and three loops (D, anti-codon, and T loops). The record is from RNAcentral. Lineage: Eukaryota; Metazoa; Chordata; Actinopteri; Centrarchiformes; Girellidae.
GCUAGUGUAGCUUAGCCUAAAGCAUGACACUGAAGAUGUUAAGAUGAGCCCUAGAAAGCUCCGCAAGCA